Molecule: long non-coding RNA, 1280 nt
Filed under: Sus scrofa (pig)
Lineage: Eukaryota; Metazoa; Chordata; Mammalia; Artiodactyla; Suidae
Description: lncRNA (ENSSSCG00035080011.1)
Source: RNAcentral
AAUCCAGGUAAUGUGUAGAAAUGCUGGAUGAUCCUUGGUUUCAAGCUGGUUCCAGGGCUGAAGGGUGCUGCCUGAUUCAAAUCCUAUAUGCAUGACCUCCAAAGGUGUGUAUUUUGUCUGAGUUUAAAGAGUGGGUGUGGGUCAGUGUGGGGAUAAUUGCCCUGCUGAAUUUGAGAUAGUCAUAACCACACCUAUAAUCCAUUUCAGGAGGCAGAGAGGGAGAGAAGGAAAUUUCACUGGCAGGAGCAGCAGGCCAGAGCAGAGCAGGGUUCUGCUGAGGGAUGCAGAGGAAGGGCUGGGAGCUGCUUUUAGAGCCCAUGUCUCAACAGAUGGCACUAGAGCACCAGCAGACCCCCACCUGCAACCUCCCUGACUGGACCUUCGGAUUCAAAUAUAAAGUUGGAGAUGGACUGGGGAAGCCAAAAGGGGGCCCAGAGCUAGUUCUGGGUUACAGGGCACCUCCAAAUCUCUGGGCAAUUUGUCUCAUCUCAGCAAAGGGGUCAUAGUUCUGCAAUGCAUGUCAGGUUCAAUUCCUACAUGCUCAGAUGGCCCAAUGGCUAGGUAAUUGGACAGGCUGAUUUGGGCCUGAGUCUCCUUUGUUUCUUUGUUUUUUGCUUUUCAGGGCAGCACUCACAGCACUUGUAAGUGCCCAGGUUAGAGGUCAAAUUGGAGCUACCACUGCUGGCCUAUACCACAGCCACAUCAACAUGGGAUCCAAAAUAUGUCUGUGACCUACACCACAGCUUGCAGAAAUGCCAGAUCCUUAACCCACUGAGUGAGGCCAAGGAUUGAAUCUGCAACCUCAUGGUUACAAGUCAGAUUCAUUUCCACUGCUCCACAAUGGGAACUCCUCCUGGAACAACUCUGGACCCAGAGACACCUGGCUUGAAUGUUAGACUUGCAGAUCUUUCAAAUAAUCCUGGUGGGGAGUUUGGCUUCUGGGAUUCUGGUCAUGAAUGCAGUGUCCCCCUGUGGUGGUUUUUGGGGCAUGGGCUGUACCCAUGGCUGGGUUUUUCUCUCCAGAUAUCUGCACAACUUUCAUCUUCCCUCUGCACCUGGCCGAGUUGCUUCAGCCUCUACAAGACACAUAUUUGAAGGAAGUUCUCUCAAUCCUGGUAAGGAAAGUGAGUGAAAGGACAUCUACAUCCUCCUCCUUCCCACUCCACCUGAGCCACCUACGCCUCUUCAGGGGGCCCCAAGGGACCUACCUUAAUCCAGAUCAAGUGAGUGAAGCCUGGGAUCCUGGAUCUCAAGGUGGGUGCAGGGCUGAGGGGCACUGA